UAUACCCUACGGGAGGCAGCAGUGAGGAAUAUUGGUCAAUGGGCGGGAGCCUGAACCAGCCACGUCGCGUGAGGGAAGACGGUCCUAUGGAUUGUAAACCUCUUUAGGCGGGGAGCAAUGCCGGGCACGCGUGCCCGGAGGGAGAGUACCCGCAGAAUAAGCAUCGGCUAACUCCGUGCCAGCAGCCGCGGUAAUACGGAGGAUGCGAGCGUUAUCCGGAUUUAUUGGGCGUAAAGGGCUCGUAGGCGGUUCGUCGCGUCCGGUGUGAAAGUCCAUCGCUUAACGGUGGAUCCGCGCCGGGUACG
This 305-nucleotide ribosomal RNA is filed under the name uncultured bacterium. RNAcentral describes it as "bacterial SSU rRNA". It matches the Rfam family "Bacterial small subunit ribosomal RNA", at positions 332 to 634 of the family's 1533-position model. The record is from RNAcentral.